RNAcentral lists this long non-coding RNA (200 nucleotides) under Oryza brachyantha (malo sina). Its description in RNAcentral is "long non-coding RNA (OBRA_LNC003683)". Lineage: Eukaryota; Viridiplantae; Streptophyta; Magnoliopsida; Poales; Poaceae. The record is from RNAcentral.
UGUAUGGUGUCAAGAGCAUCAUCAAUGCAGCUUUUAAGAAUAUCAAAGCCGUUCAGAGAGGCCUCGCCACUGCUUUUGUUAAGGCGCCCACGGAGCUGCUUUUGAGCAGCCAGCAGCAAAAUUGCUGUGUGGACAUGCAUCUCCUCAUGGAUGUAACCGCAUACCUCUUCAACAAUGUUGUCUGUAUGUUUGGCAAUUAA